AUUAGAUGAGCCUAUAUUAGAUUAGCUAGUUGGUGGAGUAAUAGCCUACCAAGGCAAUGAUCUAUAGCUGAUCUGAGAGGAUGAUCAGCCACACUGGAACUGAGAUACGGUCCAGACUCCUACGGGAGGCAGCAGUGGGGAAUAUUGGACAAUGGGCGAAAGCCUGAUCCAGCCAUGCCGCAUGAGUGAAGAAGGCCUUUGGGUUGUAAAGCUCUUUUAGUGAGGAAGAUAAUGACGGUACUCACAGAAGAAGUCCUGGCUAACUCCGUGCCAGCAGCCGCGGUAAUACGGAGAGGGCUAGCGUUAUUCGGAAUUAUUGGGCGUAAAGGGCGCGUAGACUUAUUAAUAAGGUAAAAGCGAAAUCCUGAGGAUUAACCUUGGAAUUGCUUUUAAAAGUAUUAAUCUAGAGAUUGAAAGAGGAUAGAGGAAUUCCUGAUGUAGAGGUAAAAUUCGUAAAUAUUAGGAGGAACACCAGUGGCGAAGGCGUCUAUCUGGUUCAAAUCUGACGCUGAAGCGCGAAGGCGUGGGGAGCAAACAGGAUUAGAUACCCUGGUAGUCCACGCUGUAAACGAUGAAUGUUAAAUAUGGGAAG
Molecule: ribosomal RNA, 592 nt
Filed under: Wolbachia endosymbiont of Bemisia tabaci
Lineage: Bacteria; Pseudomonadati; Pseudomonadota; Alphaproteobacteria; Rickettsiales; Anaplasmataceae
Description: bacterial SSU rRNA
Rfam family: Bacterial small subunit ribosomal RNA
Source: RNAcentral